RNAcentral lists this ribosomal RNA (433 nucleotides) under uncultured bacterium. RNAcentral's name for it is "partial 16S ribosomal RNA". It matches the Rfam family "Bacterial small subunit ribosomal RNA", at positions 29 to 507 of the family's 1533-position model. The record is from RNAcentral.
AACGAACGCUGGCGGCAUGCCUAACACAUGCAAGUCGAACGAGACCUUCGGGUCUAGUGGCGCACGGGUGCGUAACGCGUGGGAACCUGCCCUUAGGUUCGGAAUAACUCCCCGAAAGGGGUGCUAAUACCGGAUAAUGUCUUCGGACCAAAGAUUUAUCGCCUUUGGAUGGGCCCGCGUUGGAUUAGCUAGUUGGUAGGGUAAAAGCCUACCAAGGCGACGAUCCAUAGCUGGUCUGAGAGGAUGAUCAGCCACACUGGGACUGAGACACGGCCCAGACUCCUACGGGAGGCAGCAGUGGGGAAUAUUGGACAAGGGGCGAAAGCCUGAUCCAGCAAUGCCGCGUGAGUGAUGAAGGCCUUAGGGUUGUAAAGCUCUUUUACCCGGGAUGAUAAUGACAGUACCGGGAGAAUAAGCACCGGCUAACUACGUG